RNAcentral lists this ribosomal RNA (142 nucleotides) under Lactococcus cremoris. The record is from RNAcentral. Lineage: Bacteria; Bacillati; Bacillota; Bacilli; Lactobacillales; Streptococcaceae.
GGUCAUCAUUGCGAUGGAGAUACACCUGUUCCCAUGUCGAACACAGAAGUUAAGUCCAUCUACGGCGGAAGUACUUGGGGGUUGCCCCCUGGGAGAUAUGCGAGUGGCCAAGUUUGGGAGUUUAGCUCAGCUGGGAGAGCAU